UACGUAGGGGGCUAGCGUUGUCCGGAUUUCUUGGGCGUAAAGAGCGUGUAGGCGGCCGUGCAAGUCUGGCGUGAAAGCCCCGGGCUCAGCCCGGGAAGUGCGCUCGAAACUGCGCGGCUCGAGUGCCGGAGGGGAGAGUGGAAUUCCUGGUGUAGCGGUGAAAUGCGUAGAUAUCAGGAGGAAUACCGGUGGCGAAGGCGACUACCUGGCCUGUUCUUGACGCUGAGGCGCGAAAGCUAGGGGAGCAAACGGG
RNAcentral lists this ribosomal RNA (253 nucleotides) under uncultured bacterium. RNAcentral's name for it is "partial 16S ribosomal RNA". It matches the Rfam family "Bacterial small subunit ribosomal RNA", at positions 524 to 776 of the family's 1533-position model. The record is from RNAcentral.